This 504-nucleotide ribosomal RNA is filed under the name uncultured Lactobacillaceae bacterium. Its description in RNAcentral is "bacterial SSU rRNA". It matches the Rfam family "Bacterial small subunit ribosomal RNA", at positions 918 to 1422 of the family's 1533-position model. Lineage: Bacteria; Bacillati; Bacillota; Bacilli; Lactobacillales; Lactobacillaceae. The record is from RNAcentral.
GGCCCGCACAAGCGGUGGAGCAUGUGGUUUAAUUNGAAGCAAACGCGAAGAACCUUACCAGGUCUUGACAUCUUCUGCCAGGCUGAGAGAUCAGCUGUUCCCUUCGGGGACAGAAUGACAGGUGGUGCAUGGUUGUCGUCAGCUCGUGUCGUGAGAUGUUGGGUUAAGUCCCGCAACGAGCGCAACCCUUAUGUUCAGUUGCCAGCAUUUAGUUGGGCACUCUGGACAGACUGCCGGUGACAAACCGGAGGAAGGCGGGGAUGACGUCAAAUCAUCAUGCCCCUUAUGACCUGGGCUACACACGUGCUACAAUGGGUGGUACAACGAGCAGCGAGACCGCGAGGUCAAGCGAAUUUCUAAAAACCAUCCUCAGUUCGGAUUGCAGGCUGCAACUCGCCUGCAUGAAGCUGGAAUCGCUAGUAAUCGCGGAUCAGCACGCCGCGGUGAAUACGUUCCCGGGCCUUGUACACACCGCCCGUCACACCAUGAGAGUUUGUAACACCC